AGAGUUUGAUCCUGGCUCAGAACGAACGCUGGCGGCGUGGAUAAGACAUGCAAGUCGGACGAGAAACUACACUUAGCUUGCUUUGAGUAGUUUUUAGUGGCGAAUGGGCGAGUAACACGUGAGCAACCUGCCCGAAAGAGGGGGAUAGCCCGGGGAAACUCGGAUUAAUACCGCGUGUGAUCCCUCCCAGCAUUGGGGGUGGAUUAAAGGUGGGGACCCUUAGGCGCCUGCCGCUUCUGGAUGGGCUCGCGGCCUAUCAGCUUGUUGGUGAGGUAACGGCCCACCAAGGCAACGACGGGUAGCUGGUCUGAGAGGAUGGUCAGCCACACUGGAACUGAGACACGGUCCAGACACCUACGGGUGGCAGCAGUCGAGAAUCAUUCACAAUGGACGAAAGUCUGAUGGUGCAACGCCGCGUGGAGGAUGACGGUCUUCGGAUUGUAAACUCCUGUCAUCAGGGAGUAAGUCAGUGGUCACGAAUAGCGAUCACUGUUGCUAGUACCUGAAGAGGAAGAGACGGCUAACUCUGUGCCAGCAGCCGCGGUAAUACGGAGGUCCCAAGCGUUGUUCGGAUUUACUGGGCGUAAAGCGUGCGUAGGCGGCGAGGUAAGUCAGAUGUGAAAGCUCAGGGCUCAACCCUGAAAUUGCAUCCGAUACUGCCUUGCUAGAGUAAUGGAGGGGGGUCUGGAAUUCAUGGUGUAGCAGUGAAAUGCGUAGAUAUCGUGAGGAACACUAGUGGCGAAGGCGAGACCCUGGAUACUUACUGACGCUCAGGCACGAAGGCUAGGGUAGCGAAGCGGAUUAGAUACCCGCGUAGUCCUAGCAGUAAACGGUGCGCGUUUGGUGUGGGAGGAUUCGACCCCUUCCGUGCCGGAGCUAACGCGUUAAACGCGCCGCCUGGGGAGUACGAUCGCAAGAUUAAAACUCAAAGAAAUUGACGGGGACCCGCACAAGCGGUGGAGUAUGCGGCUUAAUUCGAUGCAACGCGAAGAACCUUACCUGGGUUUGACAUGCUUGUCGUAGUCCUGCGAAAGCAGGACGUCAGCUCGGCUGGACUUGCACAGGUGCUGCAUGGCUGUCGUCAGCUCGUGUCGUGAGAUGUUGGGUUAAGUCCAGCAACGAGCGCAACCCCUGUGAAUAGUUGCCAACGCGUAAUGGCGGGGACUCUAUUCAGACUGCCCAGAUCAACUGGGAGGAAGGUGGGGACGACGUCAAGUCAGUAUGGCCUUUAUGCCCAGGGCUGCACACGUACUACAAUGCCCAGCACAAUGAGAACCAAUACCGCGAGGUGGAGGAAAUCUGUAAAACUGGGCCCAGUUCGGAUUGGAGGCUGCAACUCGCCUCCAUGAAGUUGGAAUCGCUAGUAAUGCCGUAUCAGCUACAACGGCGUGAAUACGUUCCCGGGUCUUGUACACACCGCCCGUCACAUCAUGGAAGCCGGCCGCACCCGAAGUAUAUUUUUUCGGCCUAAGGCGAGGCUGGUAACUGGGAUGAAGUCGUAACAAGGUAACC
Molecule: ribosomal RNA, 1512 nt
Filed under: uncultured prokaryote
Description: partial 16S ribosomal RNA
Rfam family: Bacterial small subunit ribosomal RNA
Source: RNAcentral